This is a long non-coding RNA of Sarcophilus harrisii (Tasmanian devil), 199 nucleotides long. RefSeq lists it as uncharacterized. Lineage: Eukaryota; Metazoa; Chordata; Mammalia; Dasyuromorphia; Dasyuridae. The transcript has 3 exons. The record is from RefSeq and is a predicted model, not a curated record.
GCUGCGUUUUCCCAAGCUACGCUGAGGCCAUUGUGGGGGUGUGAUGGGUCUCCUGAGGAAGAGGUUACCCAUAACCAAUGAAAUGGUUCACAACCUCAUAGCAAUUGAGUUAGCCUACAUCAACACCAAGCACCCGGACUUGGCUGAUAUGACUUUGGUCUCUUCAUCCGUCAGCAGCAACAAGAGUGACGUCUACCGC